This 565-nucleotide long non-coding RNA is filed under the name Zonotrichia albicollis (white-throated sparrow). Its description in RNAcentral is "lncRNA (ENSZALG00000014601.1)". The record is from RNAcentral. Lineage: Eukaryota; Metazoa; Chordata; Aves; Passeriformes; Passerellidae.
GGAAAAGGCUGAAAGCAAAUCCACAAUGAAACCGUGUGAGCGAAAUAGUUUUCCCUUUCUUUUGGCCUCGGAGAGCACCGAGGGCGGCGUGGGGGUGGCUGUGUGCUGCUGCAGAUGCUGCCGUGUCGAGGAGAGGAUCCAGACGAGGUCCAUCCAUCCAUCCAGCAGUUAGGAAAAGAAACACUGCUGUGGAAGAAUCCAAUGAAUUUAUUAAUGAGCUUGGAGAAGCCUUUACUGUGGAGGUAAGCAGGAUGCUAAUGGGACGCUGUCACACACACGGACCGUGCCCCGUUGGUGUGUCGCCGUGGCAGGGGAACAACAGGAGAGAGCAUUGCCUUCCACCUGCAAUCCCUGCACUUCGGUGAGAACUAAAUUAAGUGGGUCAAAUGCCUGUCGUGUUUCUGUUCCUGUUUGUCUGCCUCAAUCGUGCAAACUUGUAGUUUUCUCUCAAUUUCUUCCCCUGGGCAAAAUAAUGCAAAUUAUGUUUUAUUCUUUGAAAAAAGGGGGAUCCCCCCUCAGAAAAGGGAGGUGCGAAAUAAGAUGCAAGUAGUGAUGUGUUUGUUCU